CUCGCCGGGAAAGAGGAUCCGCUUUGUGUGCGGUUUCUGGAAGGAAGUUGCUUUCAGGGAGUAGAGGCGGCUGGAGUCAGGAACGUGCAACAGAUCCCAGGAUCAGUAGGACGCAGCUUCCAGUCUCCUUUUCUUGGAAUUUCAUCGUGGACCCCCCAACUCCCCAUUGACAAGACUCGUCUCCAGCUCAAAUGCGACCUCCUCUAGUUCCCCUGUGUUUGCUUCUCCUCCAGAGCACUUACUACUUUAUACCCAGUGCUGUGCCAUCUCUGCACAAGAGAAUUGGAAGCUGUACACCCUUCACCUAUGAAUAGAGAGUGACUUAGCUUUUGCCAGGGUUUGGAGACAGCCCGCAUCGAUGCUUUAAAGCCUCGAGAGCUUCCUGCCAGAUAGAAAACCUCUUGAGCAAUGACAGAAUUGUUACUUGGCUGUUCCCUGGAGCAUUCGCCUCUUUGUGCAGGAUAAAUUCUCAGGGAAUUUGUGGAAUGGAUGCUGUCCUGUAGACAGAGCCAUUAAGUCAACUCCUAUGACUGGUGGGGACCUCUUCCCACUAAAGAAUUUCCUAAAGCCAUCUCAAGGCCUUAAAUCUCUCUAUUCCAUUCUAUUCUUCUCAUUUUUGUUCUCAUCUUACAAACCUUGGGAGAAAAGUACAUUGGGAUGAAACAAAAUGUGAAAUCCCUUGGACAUGUGUGAGCUAGCUUCCCAUGCAUCAUCCUGCCCCUCCCUGGGUCCACUCCUCUGCCUGGAGCUGAGUUACCAACAGCAGGGAACUUGAGGUCACGCCAAGUCACUGCCACCCUAAGGCAGAAGAGCAGUUCACCCAGUCCCUCCGCCAGAAGACUCAACCCAGCUUCUUGAAGCCAUUUCCAUGUACACAGACCACAGGCUGACUCUGUGCCAGGCCCUAUGGAGAUACAAGGUGAAGAAGAUCCAGUCCUCAUCCUUGAAGAGUUCAUAGUCCUGCAGGGGAAUCAGACUCAGAGGCAGACACUGCUCACGCAAACGUGACAAAGUAAAGGAAUCUUUUAAAAAGGCAUCAACUCAUAAGGACUAAGAGGCCAGAAAAAGAUAUGGCAGCAGACCAGUGACGGCGUCAAAAUUCUGGAAGC
This is a long non-coding RNA of Choloepus didactylus (southern two-toed sloth), 1109 nucleotides long. RefSeq lists it as uncharacterized. The transcript is spliced from 4 exons. The record is from RefSeq and is a predicted model, not a curated record. Lineage: Eukaryota; Metazoa; Chordata; Mammalia; Pilosa; Megalonychidae.